RNAcentral lists this unclassified non-coding RNA (220 nucleotides) under plant metagenome. RNAcentral describes it as "partial contains small subunit ribosomal RNA, internal transcribed spacer 1, and 5.8S ribosomal RNA". The record is from RNAcentral.
UUUCCGUAGGUGAACCUGCGGAAGGAUCACUAAAGAGAACUUGCCCUUCGGGGUAGAUCUCCCACCCUUUGUUUAUUAUACUUUGUUGCUUUGGCGGGCCUGCCUCACGGCUGCCGGCGUAAGCUGGCUCGCGCCCGCCAGAGACCCCUAAACUCUGAAUAUUGUCGUCUGAGUAAUAUAUAAUAAGUUAAAACUUUCAACAACGGAUCUCUUGGUUCUG